AUUGAACGCUGGCGGCCGGCCUUACACAUGCAAGUCGAGCGGAGCGGCGGACGGGUGAGUAAUGCCUAGGAAUCUGCCUGGUAGUGGGGGACAACGUCAGGAAACGGGCGCUAAUACCGCAUACUAUCAGAUGAGCCUUGGGCGGAUGAGGUAGUUGGUGGGGUAAAGGCCUACCAAGUCGACGAUCCGUAACUGGUCUGAGAGGCUGAUCAGUCACACUGGGACUGAGACACGGUCCAGACUCCUACGGGAGGCAGCAGUGGGGAAUAUUGGACAAGGGGCGAAAGCCUGAUCCAGCCAUGCCGCGUGUGUGAAGAAGGGCUUCGGAUUGUAAAGUACUGUCGGCAGGGAGGCGUUACCUGCAGAAGAAGCACCGGCUAACUCCGUGCCAGCAGCCGCGGUAAUUC
Molecule: ribosomal RNA, 407 nt
Filed under: uncultured bacterium
Lineage: Bacteria
Description: partial 16S ribosomal RNA
Rfam family: Bacterial small subunit ribosomal RNA
Source: RNAcentral